GUGAGGAAUUUUCCGCAAUGGGCGAAAGCCUGACGGAGCAAUGCCGCGUGAAGGAUGAAGGCCUAUGGGUUGUAAACUUCUUUUCUCAGAAAAGAAUUAUGACGGUAUCUGAGGAAUAAGCAUCGGCUAACUCUGUGCAAGCAGCCGCGGUAAGACAGAGGAUGCAAGCGUUAUCCGGAAUGAUUGGGCGUAAAGCGUCUGUAGGUUGUUUAAAAAGUAUUCUGUAAAAGAUUAGUGCUUAACCCUAGAUAGGAAGAAUAAACUUUUAAGCUAGAGUUUGGUAGAGGCAGAGGGAAUUCCCGGUGGAGCGGUGAAAUGCGUAGAUAUCGGGAGGAACACCAAAGGCGAAGGCACUCUGCUGGGCCAAUACUAACACUGAGAGACGAAAGCGAGGGGAGCAAAUGGGAUUAGAAACCCGAGUAGUCC
Molecule: ribosomal RNA, 426 nt
Filed under: uncultured bacterium
Lineage: Bacteria
Description: partial 16S ribosomal RNA
Rfam family: Bacterial small subunit ribosomal RNA
Source: RNAcentral